CAUCUACUCCCUCCGUCCGAAAAUACUUGUCAUCAAAAUGGAUAAAAGAAGUUGUAUCGUACGAUACAACUUUUUUUAUCCAUUUUGAUGACAAGUAUUUUCGGACGGAGGGAGUACUAU
Triticum aestivum (bread wheat) is the source of this 120-nucleotide non-coding RNA. NCBI's taxonomy places the organism in Eukaryota, Viridiplantae, Streptophyta, Magnoliopsida, Poales, Poaceae. The record is from Rfam.